RNAcentral lists this unclassified non-coding RNA (260 nucleotides) under uncultured fungus. Its description in RNAcentral is "partial contains small subunit ribosomal RNA, internal transcribed spacer 1, and 5.8S ribosomal RNA". The stretch from base 1 to 73 matches the Rfam family "Eukaryotic small subunit ribosomal RNA", at positions 1759 to 1831 of the family's 1831-position model. The record is from RNAcentral. Lineage: Eukaryota; Fungi.
GCAAACUUGGUCAUUUAGAGGAAGUAAAAGUCGUAACAAGGUUUCCGUAGGUGAACCUGCGGAAGGAUCAUUAAAGGAUUUGGACCUUCUGGGUCUUAACCUUCAACCCUAUGUCUUCAUUACCUGAUUCUUUGGUGGGGUGAUGCCCAUCAGAAGUUUUCUUGAACUCUUGAUGAAAUCGUGUGUCUGAAUGAAAAAGAAAAUAAAUUAAAACUUUCAACAACGGAUCUCUUGGUUCUGGCAUCGAUGAAGAACGCAGC